This 489-nucleotide unclassified non-coding RNA is filed under the name Dactylogyrus dyki. RNAcentral describes it as "internal transcribes spacer 1". The record is from RNAcentral. Lineage: Eukaryota; Metazoa; Platyhelminthes; Monogenea; Dactylogyridea; Dactylogyridae.
CCAAGUUACCUAACACAGCCUCUGACUAUGUCUAUGUAAUGUUAUUUCUGGGCUGUAUCUGAUUUACGGAUCGCUCGGAUGGCAUUGCUGGGAAGUUAGCAGAGUGUCCAUGAGAUCAGGCCGGGGACUAUGCCCCAAUGCCUUGAUCGCCAACGGUGAUACAGAAAUGAGCUUGAACGGUUCGGGUCGUAACACUCCAUUACUUCCUGCGCUUGACUUGUUCAUAGCCGACUCUGACUGGAGCGGCCAUGUAGCUGCGUGCAGGUGGUAACGUUCUGCGCGUAGCUUAUUGGUUGCACCUUAUGAAUUGCAAUUGUUCAGUCAGAGACCCGGUGCGUUACAAACAUUCUCCCUUCGGGUGAGUCCUCUCCGUACUUUCUAAUGUUUUAAACAACCAUGGCUAUGUAUGGUGUUGCGUCGGUAGUGAUACUGACAAUGCACUGUUCUGGCCCGGUGCGCGUUACCUUCGGGUGACAAACGCCAACCUUA